CCCCAACCCAGGCUACAGUGCAGUGGCGCAGUCACAGCUCAGUGUAGCCUUGACCUGUCAAUCUCCCGGGCUCAAACCAUCCUGCUCAGCCUCCUGAGUAUCUGGGACUACAGGCGCAUGCCACCACACCCAGCUAAUUUUUGUAUGUUUUUGUAGAGAUGGGAUUUCACCAUGUUGCCCAAGCUGGUCUUGAAUUCCUGGGCUCAAGUGAUUCUCCCACGUGGGCCUCCCAAAGUGCUGGGAUUAUAGACGUGAGCCACCAUGCCUGGCCUUGGUGUAUCAUUCUUCAGCCUGGAAGAAAAUCAUUUUGCACUCACCAGAAGCUUAGUUUAUUGCAGCGUCUAACCUAGCUUGCCUGCUUAGGACUAGGGAUUUUCUUUAUAUUCAGAUAAAGUUCAAGGACAAGAAGAGAAUUGGGCUUGUGUUAUGCAAAGUCAUUUACUUGAGUAAUAAAUAGGUGUCACUUGUGAAUGACAUUACCUUUAACACCAUGUAGCGUAUGUUGUGUUCUGAAGAACUGCAACCACAAAGUUAUUUGUUGGUACUGAGAGAUUUCUGCUUUAUUCUUUGUUUUUGCUAUCCUGUCCUAUAUAACUUUUUUUAAAGUCAUAAGCUUAAAGUUUUUUAUUACGAAGAAUUUUAUAUUUAUGCAAAAGAAAAUAGUAUCUGUAUGACCAAUCAUCCAGAUUCAGCAACUAAGAGGAUUUAUAAUAGAUUUAAAGGUUCAAUGUUUAAUAAAUAUCUUAAAGUUCACUAGAGAAAAAAUCCUUAUUGCGAGAUAACGUGGACCUAUUGGGAAGCUUGGCAGAUCUGUACUUCAGAGCUGGAGACAAUAAAAACUCUGUCCUCAAGUUUGAACAGGCACAGAUGUUGGAUCCUUAUCUGAUAAAAGGAAUGGAUGUAUAUGGCUACCUACUGGCACGAGAAGGGCGGCUGGAGGAUGUUGAGAACCUUGGAUGCCGCCUUUUCAAUAUCUCUGAUCAGCAUGCAGAACCGUGGGUGGUUUCUGGCUGUCACAGCUUCUAUAGCAAACGCUACUCCCGGGCCCUCUAUUUAGGAGCCAAGGCCAUUCAGCUGAACAGUAAUAGUGUUCAAGCUUUGCUACUUAAGGGAGCAGCACUUAGGAACAUGGGCAGAGUCCAAGAAGCAAUAAUCCACUUUCGGGAGGCCAUACGGCUCGCACCUUGUCGCUUAGAUUGUUAUGAAGGUCUUAUCGAAUGUUACUUAGCCUCCA
This 1234-nucleotide small RNA is filed under the name Pan troglodytes (chimpanzee). RNAcentral describes it as "retained intron". Lineage: Eukaryota; Metazoa; Chordata; Mammalia; Primates; Hominidae. The record is from RNAcentral.